CCUACGGGAGGCAGCAGUGGGGAAUAUUGGGCAAUGGGCGCAAGCCUGACCCAGCAACGCCGCGUGAAGGAAGAAGGCUUUCGGGUUGUAAACUUCUUUUCUCAGGGACGAAGCAAGUGACGGUACCUGAGGAAUAAGCCACGGCUAACUACGUGCCAGCCGCCGCGGUACUACGUAGGUGGCAAGCGUUAUCCGGAUUUACUGGGUGUAAAGGGCGUGUAGGCGGGGACGCAAGUCAGAUGUGAAAACCACGGGCUCAACCUGUGGCCUGCAUUUGAAACUGUGUUUCUUGAGGACUGGAGAGGCAGACGGAAUUCCUAGUGUAGCGGUGAAAUGCGUAGAUAUUAGGAGGAACACCAGUGGCGAAGGCGGUCUGCUGGACAGCAACUGACGCUGAGGCGCGAAAGCGUGGGGAGCAAACAGGAUUAGAUACCCUAGUAGUC
RNAcentral lists this ribosomal RNA (443 nucleotides) under uncultured bacterium. RNAcentral's name for it is "partial 16S ribosomal RNA". It matches the Rfam family "Bacterial small subunit ribosomal RNA", at positions 338 to 795 of the family's 1533-position model. The record is from RNAcentral.